RNAcentral lists this ribosomal RNA (301 nucleotides) under uncultured bacterium. Its description in RNAcentral is "partial 16S ribosomal RNA". It matches the Rfam family "Bacterial small subunit ribosomal RNA", at positions 509 to 807 of the family's 1533-position model. The record is from RNAcentral.
CAGUCGCCGCGGUAACACAGAGGGUGCGAGCGUUAAUCGGAUUUACUGGGCGUAAAGCGUGCGUAGGCGGCUAAUUGAGUCGGAUGUGAAAUCCCCGAGCUUAACUUGGGAAUUGCAUUCGAUACUGGUUAGCUAGAGUGUGGGAGAGGAUGGUAGAAUUCCAGGUGUAGCGGUGAAAUGCGUAGAGAUCUGGAGGAAUACCGAUGGCGAAGGCAGCCAUCUGGCCUAACACUGACGCUGAGGUACGAAAGCAUGGGGAGCAAACAGGAUUAGAGACCCCCGUAGUCCCUGUCUCUUAUAC